GAGGGUAUAGCUCAGUGAUACAGUACGUGCUUAGCACGCGCACGGUCCUGGGUUCAAUCCCCAGUACCUCCA
This 72-nucleotide transfer RNA is filed under the name Camelus bactrianus (Bactrian camel). It matches the Rfam family "tRNA". Rfam says of the family: Transfer RNA (tRNA) molecules are approximately 80 nucleotides in length. Their secondary structure includes four short double-helical elements and three loops (D, anti-codon, and T loops). The record is from Rfam by way of RNAcentral. Lineage: Eukaryota; Metazoa; Chordata; Mammalia; Artiodactyla; Camelidae. RNAcentral also lists the same sequence under 2 other names.